AUUGAACGCUGGCGGCAUGCCUUACACAUGCAAGUCGAACGGUAACAGGUCUUCGGAUGCUGACGAGUGGCGAACGGGUGAGUAAUACAUCGGAACGUGCCUAGUAGUGGGGGAUAACUACUCGAAAGAGUGGCUAAUACCGCAUGAGAUCUACGGAUGAAAGCAGGGGAUCGCAAGACCUUGUGCUACUAGAGCGGCCGAUGGCAGAUUAGGUAGUUGGUGGGAUAAAAGCUUACCAAGCCGACGAUCUGUAGCUGGUCUGAGAGGACGAUCAGCCACACUGGGACUGAGAAACGGCCCAGACUCCUACGGGAGGCAGCAGUGGGGAAUUUUGGACAAUGGGCGCAAGCCUGAUCCAGCAAUGCCGCGUGCAGGAUGAAGGCCUUCGGGUUGUAAACUGCUUUUGUACGGAACGAAAAGCCCCGGGUUAAUACCCUGGGGUCAUGACGGUACCCAAAGAAUAAGCACCGGCUAACUUCGUGCCAGCAGCCGCCGUAA
Molecule: ribosomal RNA, 498 nt
Filed under: uncultured bacterium
Lineage: Bacteria
Description: partial 16S ribosomal RNA
Rfam family: Bacterial small subunit ribosomal RNA
Source: RNAcentral